ACAUUGGUGAUUCAGUAGUAGAAUUCUUGCCUUCCAUGUGGGAGACUCAGGUUCAUUUCCUGGUCGACGCA
This 71-nucleotide transfer RNA is filed under the name Loxodonta africana (African savanna elephant). It matches the Rfam family "tRNA". Rfam says of the family: Transfer RNA (tRNA) molecules are approximately 80 nucleotides in length. Their secondary structure includes four short double-helical elements and three loops (D, anti-codon, and T loops). Further hydrogen bonds mediate the characteristic L-shaped molecular structure. tRNAs have two regions of fundamental functional importance: the anti-codon, which is responsible for specific mRNA codon recognition, and the 3' end, to which the tRNAs corresponding amino acid is attached (by aminoacyl-tRNA synthetases). tRNAs cope with the degeneracy of the genetic code in two manners: having more than one tRNA (with a specific anti-codon) for a particular amino acid; and 'wobble' base-pairing, i.e. permitting non-standard base-pairing at the 3rd anti-codon position. Lineage: Eukaryota; Metazoa; Chordata; Mammalia; Proboscidea; Elephantidae. The record is from Rfam by way of RNAcentral.